Molecule: ribosomal RNA, 927 nt
Filed under: uncultured bacterium
Lineage: Bacteria
Also listed under: 1 other name
Description: bacterial SSU rRNA
Rfam family: Bacterial small subunit ribosomal RNA
Source: RNAcentral
UUGGAUCCAGACUUUGAUCAUGGCUCAGGAUGAACGCUAGCUACAGGCUUAACACAUGCAAGUCGAGGGGAAACGAUAGAGAAAGCUUGCUUUUUCUAGGCGUCGACCGGCGCACGGGUGAGUAACGCGUAUCCAACCUGCCCAUCACUUGGGGAUAACCUUGCGAAAGUAAGACUAAUACCCAAUGAUAUCUCUAGAAGACAUCUGAAGGAGAUUAAAGAUUUAUCGGUGAUGGAUGGGGAUGCGUCUGAUUAGCUUGUUGGCGGGGUAACGGCCCACCAAGGCGACGAUCAGUAGGGGUUCUGAGAGGAAGGUCCCCCACAUUGGAACUGAGACACGGUCCAAACUCCUACGGGAGGCAGCAGUGAGGAAUAUUGGUCAAUGGGCGAGAGCCUGAACCAGCCAAGUAGCGUGCAGGAUGACGGCCCUAUGGGUUGUAAACUGCUUUUAUAAGGGAAUAAAGUGAGCCUCGUGAGGCUUUUUGCAUGUACCUUAUGAAUAAGGACCGGCUAAUUCCGUGCCAGCAGCCGCGGUAAUACGGAAGGUCCGGGCGUUAUCCGGAUUUAUUGGGUUUAAAGGGAGCGUAGGCCGGAGAUUAAGCGUGUUGUGAAAUGUAGAUGCUCAACGUCUGCACUGCAGCGCGAACUGGUUUCCUUGAGUACGCACAAAGUGGGCGGAAUUCGUGGUGUAGCGGUGAAAUGCUUAGAUAUCACGAAGAACUCCGAUUGCGAAGGCAGCUCACUGGAGCGCAACUGACGCUGAAGCUCGAAAGUGCGGGUAUCGAACAGGAUUAGAUACCCUGGUAGUCCGCACGGUAAACGAUGGAUGCCCGCUGUUGGUCUGAAUAGGUCAGCGGCCAAGCGAAAGCAUUAAGCAUCCCACCUGGGGAGUACGCCGGCAACGGUGCAACUCAAAUGAAUUGACGGA